Molecule: ribosomal RNA, 2260 nt
Filed under: Escherichia coli
Lineage: Bacteria; Pseudomonadati; Pseudomonadota; Gammaproteobacteria; Enterobacterales; Enterobacteriaceae
Description: partial 23S ribosomal RNA
Rfam family: Bacterial large subunit ribosomal RNA
Source: RNAcentral
AAACCGUGUACGUACAAGCAGUGGGAGCACGCUUAGGCGUGUGACUGCGUACCUUUUGUAUAAUGGGUCAGCGACUUAUAUUCUGUAGCAAGGUUAACCGAAUAGGGGAGCCGAAGGGAAACCGAGUCUUAACUGGGCGUUAAGUUGCAGGGUAUAGACCCGAAACCCGGUGAUCUAGCCAUGGGCAGGUUGAAGGUUGGGUAACACUAACUGGAGGACCGAACCGACUAAUGUUGAAAAAUUAGCGGAUGACUUGUGGCUGGGGGUGAAAGGCCAAUCAAACCGGGAGAUAGCUGGUUCUCCCCGAAAGCUAUUUAGGUAGCGCCUCGUGAAUUCAUCUCCGGGGGUAGAGCACUGUUUCGGCAAGGGGGUCAUCCCGACUUACCAACCCGAUGCAAACUGCGAAUACCGGAGAAUGUUAUCACGGGAGACACACGGCGGGUGCUAACGUCCGUCGUGAAGAGGGAAACAACCCAGACCGCCAGCUAAGGUCCCAAAGUCAUGGUUAAGUGGGAAACGAUGUGGGAAGGCCCAGACAGCCAGGAUGUUGGCUUAGAAGCAGCCAUCAUUUAAAGAAAGCGUAAUAGCUCACUGGUCGAGUCGGCCUGCGCGGAAGAUGUAACGGGGCUAAACCAUGCACCGAAGCUGCGGCAGCGACGCUUAUGCGUUGUUGGGUAGGGGAGCGUUCUGUAAGCCUGUGAAGGUGUGCUGUGAGGCAUGCUGGAGGUAUCAGAAGUGCGAAUGCUGACAUAAGUAACGAUAAAGCGGGUGAAAAGCCCGCUCGCCGGAAGACCAAGGGUUCCUGUCCAACGUUAAUCGGGGCAGGGUGAGUCGACCCCUAAGGCGAGGCCGAAAGGCGUAGUCGAUGGGAAACAGGUUAAUAUUCCUGUACUUGGUGUUACUGCGAAGGGGGGACGGAGAAGGCUAUGUUGGCCGGGCGACGGUUGUCCCGGUUUAAGCGUGUAGGCUGGUUUUCCAGGCAAAUCCGGAAAAUCAAGGCUGAGGCGUGAUGACGAGGCACUACGGUGCUGAAGCAACAAAUGCCCUGCUUCCAGGAAAAGCCUCUAAGCAUCAGGUAACAUCAAAUCGUACCCCAAACCGACACAGGUGGUCAGGUAGAGAAUACCAAGGCGCUUGAGAGAACUCGGGUGAAGGAACUAGGCAAAAUGGUGCCGUAACUUCGGGAGAAGGCACGCUGAUAUGUAGGUGAAGUCCCUUGCGGAUGGAGCUGAAAUCAGUCGAAGAUACCAGCUGGCUGCAACUGUUUAUUAAAAACACAGCACUGUGCAAACACGAAAGUGGACGUAUACGGUGUGACGCCUGCCCGGUGCCGGAAGGUUAAUUGAUGGGGUCAGCGCAAGCGAAGCUCUUGAUCGAAGCCCCGGUAAACGGCGGCCGUAACUAUAACGGUCCUAAGGUAGCGAAAUUCCUUGUCGGGUAAGUUCCGACCUGCACGAAUGGCGUAAUGAUGGCCAGGCUGUCUCCACCCGAGACUCAGUGAAAUUGAACUCGCUGUGAAGAUGCAGUGUACCCGCGGCAAGACGGAAAGACCCCGUGAACCUUUACUAUAGCUUGACACUGAACAUUGAGCCUUGAUGUGUAGGAUAGGUGGGAGGCUUGGAAGUGUGGACGCCAGUCUGCAUGGAGCCGACCUUGAAAUACCACCCUUUAAUGUUUGAUGUUCUAACGUUGACCCGUAAUCCGGGUUGCGGACAGUGUCUGGUGGGUAGUUUGACUGGGGCGGUCUCCUCCUAAAGAGUAACGGAGGAGCACGAAGGUUGGCUAAUCCUGGUCGGACAUCAGGAGGUUAGUGCAAUGGCAUAAGCCAGCUUGACUGCGAGCGUGACGGCGCGAGCAGGUGCGAAAGCAGGUCAUAGUGAUCCGGUGGUUCUGAAUGGAAGGGCCAUCGCUCAACGGAUAAAAGGUACUCCGGGGAUAACAGGCUGAUACCGCCCAAGAGUUCAUAUCGACGGCGGUGUUUGGCACCUCGAUGUCGGCUCAUCACAUCCUGGGGCUGAAGUAGGUCCCAAGGGUAUGGCUGUUCGCCAUUUAAAGUGGUACGCGAGCUGGGUUUAGAACGUCGUGAGACAGUUCGGUCCCUAUCUGCCGUGGGCGCUGGAGAACUGAGGGGGGCUGCUCCUAGUACGAGAGGACCGGAGUGGACGCAUCACUGGUGUUCGGGUUGUCAUGCCAAUGGCACUGCCCGGUAGCUAAAUGCGGAAGAGAUAAGUGCUGAAAGCAUCUAAGCACGAAACUUGCC